AUGAGAUUCACUUUGCCAAAUGGUGUAACGUCAUCUAUGGAGAUUUUCGAGCAUGUCAGAGAAAUUGAUUGUCACCCUAAUAUCUCAAUUAUUUAUCGCACCUUAUUUAUUGUGCCUGUGACGGCUGAAACAAGCUUUUCAAAGUUGAAAUUGCCGAAGAACUAUCCGAGGUCAACAACGACUCAAGUGAUGUUAAAUUGUUUAACAAAAUUAUGCAUCGAGAAGAAAUUAUUGGAUUAUAUUGACGUCGACCUCAUCAUAAGUGACUUUGCAUCGAGGAAUGUUAGAAAUUUUUUUAAGGUAAUAUGUACAAAUUAUUUGGUAUGCGUACUGAUUUUGAAUGCAUUUAAUGAAGUGUAUUUGAUAAUAUUUCAAAAACGUAUGUAUAUUAAUUUCCAUUGUUACGAUGUCUAUAUUAAAGGCCACGAGUGGAUUAUAUUGACGUCGACCUCAUCAUAA
Molecule: ribosomal RNA, 459 nt
Filed under: Triticum aestivum (bread wheat)
Lineage: Eukaryota; Viridiplantae; Streptophyta; Magnoliopsida; Poales; Poaceae
Description: partial small subunit ribosomal RNA
Source: RNAcentral